GACGAACGCUGGUGGCGUGCCUAAUACAUGCAAGUAGAACGCUGAAGAGAGGAGCUUGCUCUUCUUGGAUGAGUUGCGAACGGGUGAGUAACGCGUAGGUAACCUGCCUUGUAGCGGGGGAUAACUAUUGGAAACGAUAGCUAAUACCGCAUAACAAUGGAUGACCCAUGUCAUUUAUUUGAAAGGGGCAAAUGCUCCACUACAAGAUGGACCUGCGUUGUAUUAGCUAGUAGGUGAGGUAACGGCUCACCUAGGCGACGAUACAUAGCCGACCUGAGAGGGUGAUCGGCCACACUGGGACUGAGACACGGCCCAGACUCCUACGGGAGGCAGCAGUAGGGAAUCUUCGGCAAUGGGGGCAACCCUGACCGAGCAACGCCGCGUGAGUGAAGAAGGUUUUCGGAUCGUAAAGCUCUGUUGUAAGUCAAGAACGAGUGUGAGAGUGGAAAGUUCACACUGUGACGGUAGCUUACCAGAAAGAGACGGCUAACUACGUG
Molecule: ribosomal RNA, 497 nt
Filed under: uncultured bacterium
Lineage: Bacteria
Description: partial 16S ribosomal RNA
Rfam family: Bacterial small subunit ribosomal RNA
Source: RNAcentral